CCUACGGGGUGCAGCAGUGAGGAAUAUUGGUCAAUGGCCGGGAGGCUGAACCAGCCAAGUCGCGUGAGGGAAGACGGCCCUACGGGUUGUAAACCUCUUUUGUCAGGGAGCAAGGUGCAGGUCGGGACCUGCUGUGAGAGUACCUGAAGAAAAAGCAUCGGCUAACUCCGUGCCAGCAGCCGCGGUAAUACGGAGGAUGCGAGCGUUAUCCGGAUUUAUUGGGUUUAAAGGGUGCGCAGGCGGAGGCACAAGUCAGCGGUAAAAUCGCGGGGCUCAACCCCGCUCCGCCGUUGAAACUGUGUGCCUUGAGUGCGCGAAGGGUAGGCGGAAUGCGUGGUGGAGCGGUGAAAUGCAUAGAUAUCACGCAGAACUCCGAUCGCGAAGGCAGCCUACCGGCGCGCAACUGACGCUCAUGCACGAAAGCGUGGGUAUCGAACAGGAUUAGAUACCCCUGUAGUC
This 459-nucleotide ribosomal RNA is filed under the name uncultured bacterium. RNAcentral's name for it is "partial 16S ribosomal RNA". It matches the Rfam family "Bacterial small subunit ribosomal RNA", at positions 338 to 795 of the family's 1533-position model. The record is from RNAcentral.